AUAUGGAAGAGAACUACAAAUUCUAAUGCACAGCAUGUUAUUUUUUUACGGCUCUGAUCUCAGGGCAAUACACCUGAAAGUAAGCUAGUUGGUGAAAGGAGAUGAGUUACGGGUGAGCUCAAGGGACCUGGUGUUCAUUUCCUAAAGUCUCACUUAAAAUUGACAGUGACCGGGACUCUCAAUCAUGUUUUGGCAGAAAAGUCAGGUGGUCCCCAAGGUAAAGGCUGCCAGUAGGUGGUGGAAAAUAAGAAGAGUACAAACUCUUUUCCUCUCCACCCUCCAUGGCCAACCAACCCAAAAGCUCAACCUGCAGAAUGCUGAACACAGCACUUAUACCAGAAGAAAAUAAAACUCUAGCAUAUUUCGUCACAGUGGAUUAUUUCAAUACUGGCGUGCUGGCAGGCCACCAAGACUGCACCUGAAUUCUCUGUUGUGAUUCUAUCUACACUAGAUGAUGUCAUGAAAUACACACUGAAUUUGGUGGCAGAAGACUUGGGUUUGAGACCCACCUCUGCCCCUUAGUAGUUAGGCAAAACCACUUUGUUCAUUCACAUUUUAAAAUCUCUUGACAACCUGCCGGGAAUAUGAAAUGAGGAAGUACUGAUUUACAAGAUGGGGAGCAUCAAGGAGGGAGGACUUUGGGCAUCACGUACCUUACAUGGAGAGGGAACUGCAGGGGCCAACGCCUGGGGGUGAGAGAGCAGGCUGGUGUGCUAGGGUGGCUUUGCGUAGUUUGGCUUGGCUACAGUACUGGAUUUCCACUGGGGAGUGGUAAGGGAUGAGGCUUCUCAAAUCUUCAGCGUCUCCCUUUGUGAAAUGAAAGGUUAGGAUGAUGCGGCCACUGGGGAUGCUUAUGGCUCUACCAUUCCCCGACUCUUUCAUCACAGGAUGAGUUCGACCUGGAUGGGAUUGACCACAUGACCUCAGAGCGUCUGACUGCAAAUGAAUCAAGGGACAUUGAAAUAGGACAGAUAUGUUGGCUGUUCCUCCUACCCCAAAAGAAGCUGGUUGUUUUGGCUGACUCGUUCCACAAUGGCAGGAUUUUGGGGAUCUCCAGUGAGCAGGAGAGCAAGUUACUGUGUAUCUUGCCUUAGAAGAGGAGACCCAAUCAGCACUGAAUCCAGCUGCAGUAAUGCCAUAAGAAGCCAAAACCACAUGGAGAGGCUGUGUGUAGCUGCCUCGACUCAACGCUCAGCUGACAGCCCACAUCAACUGCCAACCAUGUGAGAGAGCCGUUUCGGACUUGCAGCCCAUCUAGCCUUCAGAUGACUCCAGCCCCAACUGAUAGCCAACUGUGACCACGUGAGAAGCACCCAGCUGAGCCCAUUCAACCCGCAGAAGUAUGAAAGAUAAUAAUAAAUUCUCCUGUUAAGCCUCUAAGUUGUUUUGUAGUCAACAGAGGCACAAAGGCAUUGUAUUGUGAUGGGCCCCUCUCCCUAUAGGAUUGGUGAGAAGGGACAGGGGACAGCGAGCCCGUUGGAGUUUUCUCCUUGGUCCCUACUUGUCCAUAAGCAGCACCUGUCCCUCUGUUCCUGUCCUCCAGCAGGUAAAUACCAGGAAAACCUCCCUUGGUGGGGUGGGGAGAUGAGAGACAGUCCAGGAGGCAAGUUUAAUUUGAGGGCUGGAGGUGAGGAAUAAAACGUCCAUUUUGGUCUUAGAUCCAAACCGCGGUUUCCAGUCUAACUUUAUCCUCGCUAUAAAGUUAUUUUCAUCCCAGACUCCUGUGUCUGUUUUUUAAAUUGGUUCAGAAAACUCAGAGGGAAAAAGGAUAAAAUCAUUUUUCUUCUUCAGACCCCAACAAGCAACCUUCUUCCUUUCUCACAGGCUAGAAAGCAAAGUUUAAUUUUUUAAAAAUUUCACCCUGCUUCAUCCUCUAAAAAUCAAGUGUGCCCUCAGUUCUUGUUACGUGGUUUUGUGAAAUUCCCCUCCCCUGUGCCUCCUUUUGGCUUUCCUGGUCCCUGCCCCAGCUCAGAGCCUCACUGCCACAUGGUUUCACUUCUACGGCGGCCUCCCGGUCUGCACCUCCCUACCUCUGCACCCCCCAUCCACGUGCUGUUACAAGCUAAGAUUUCCACCGCCACAUUCACUUAUCACGCUGAUCCCCUUGCUGAAGACCUGAUCUGCCGCCUCGGGUCCAGUUCUAGGCCCUCCAUGAUAAUUCGCUUGAUUAUAGCUAAUAGCCCUUCAAGCUAAUCUUCCAAACACUCUGUAAGGCAACUUUUACUUCACACCAGACUCAUUACUGCUUCCUUCUUUUAUCUUGUCCUCCCUCUUCAGAUUAGAUGGUGUUCGCUCUCUCCCUUCUCUGAAUUCCCCUAGUCCCUUAGGAAGCAGGACUCACAGGGUUCAUGGCUGAUUAUUCUUUGGCCUUCCAAGUGCCCCAAAUUCUAAUUGCUUGAGGACAUGUUCCCCAGUGUGCUCCUCGAUAAACACUAUUGGACUCAUGUUUACUCUCUGUGUAAACAGCCAGUGAGAUUCUGUGGUCUUGAUGGAAUAAACGAUCUAAUGUUUAUUAUGCC
Molecule: long non-coding RNA, 2519 nt
Organism: Orcinus orca (killer whale)
Lineage: Eukaryota; Metazoa; Chordata; Mammalia; Artiodactyla; Delphinidae
Exons: 3
Source: RefSeq, a predicted model, not a curated record